CUGUACAGUUCAGAGUUUGAUCCUGGCUCAGGACGAACGCUGGCGGCGUGCCUAACACAUGCAAGUCGAACGAGGUCCAUCCGGUGGCAACACCGGGGAAGACCUAGUGGCGAACGGGUGAGUAACACGUGAGGAACCUGCCCCGAAGACCGGGAUAACCGCCCGAAAGGGUGGCUAAUACCGGAUGCCCUCACCGGAUCGCAUGGUCUGGUGAGGAAAUGGGUUUCCGCUUCGGGAGGGCCUCGCGGCCUAUCAGCUUGUUGGUGGGGUAACGGCCUACCAAGGCGUCGACGGGUAGCUGGUCUGAGAGGACGAUCAGCCACACUGGGACUGAGACACGGCCCAG
RNAcentral lists this ribosomal RNA (346 nucleotides) under uncultured bacterium. Its description in RNAcentral is "bacterial SSU rRNA". It matches the Rfam family "Bacterial small subunit ribosomal RNA", at positions 1 to 334 of the family's 1533-position model. The record is from RNAcentral.